RNAcentral lists this ribosomal RNA (480 nucleotides) under uncultured bacterium. RNAcentral's name for it is "bacterial SSU rRNA". It matches the Rfam family "Bacterial small subunit ribosomal RNA", at positions 501 to 985 of the family's 1533-position model. The record is from RNAcentral.
CUACGUGCCAGCAGCCGCGGUAAUACGGAAGGUUCGGGCGUUAUCCGGAUUUAUUGGGUUUAAAGGGAGCGUAGGCGGAUUGUUAAGUCAGCGGUUAAAGGGUGUGGCUCAACCAUGCAUUGCCGUUGAAACUGGCGAUCUUGAGUGCAGACAGGGAUGCCGGAAUUCGUCGUGUAGCGGUGAAAUGCUUAGAUAUGACGAAGAACUCCGAUUGCGAAGGCAGCUGACGGGAGCGCAACUGACGCUGAAGCUCGAAGGUGCGGGUAUCGAACAGGAUUAGAUACCCUGGUAGUCCGCACAGUAAACGAUGGAUGCCCGCUGUUGGUACCUGGUAUCAGCGGCUAAGCGAAAGCAUUAAGCAUCCCACCUGGGGAGUACGCCGGCAACGGUGAAACUCAAAGGAAUUGACGGGGGCCCGCACAAGCGGAGGAACAUGUGGUUUAAUUCGAUGAUACGCGAGGAACCUUACCCGGGCUUGAA